CUAUACAUGCAGUCGAGCGAAUGGAUUGGAGAGCUUGCUCUNANGAAGUUAGCGGCGGACGGGUGAGUAACACGUGGGUAACCUGCCCAUAAGACUGGGAUAACUCCGGGAAACCGGGGCUAAUACCGGAUAAUAUUUUGAACUGCAUGGUUCGAAAUUGAAAGGCGGCUUCGGCUGUCACUUAUGGAUGGACCCGCGUCGCAUUAGCUAGUUGGUGAGGUAACGGCUCACCAAGGCAACGAUGCGUAGCCGACCUGAGAGGGUGAUCGGCCACACUGGGACUGAGACACGGCCCAGACUCCUACGGGAGGCAGCAGUAGGGAAUCUUCCGCAAUGGACGAAAGUCUGACGGAGCAACGCCGCGUGAGUGAUGAAGGCUUUCGGGUCGUAAAACUCUGUUGUUAGGGAAGAACAAGUGCUAGUUGAAUAAGCUGGCACCUUGACGGUACCUAACCAGAAAGCCACGGCUAACUACGUGCCAGCAGCCGCGGUAAUACGUAGGUGGCAAGCGUUAUCCGGAAUUAUUGGGCGUAAAGCGCGCGCAGGUGGUUUCUUAAGUCUGAUGUGAAAGCCCACGGCUCAACCGUGGAGGGUCAUUGGAAACUGGGAGACUUGAGUGCAGAAGAGGAAAGUGGAAUUCCAUGUGUAGCGGUGAAAUGCGUAGAGAUAUGGAGGAACACCAGUGGCGAAGGCGACUUUCUGGUCUGUAACUGACACUGAGGCGCGAAAGCGUGGGGAGCAAACA
RNAcentral lists this ribosomal RNA (745 nucleotides) under bacterium 1_xplvp296. Its description in RNAcentral is "bacterial SSU rRNA". It matches the Rfam family "Bacterial small subunit ribosomal RNA", at positions 49 to 774 of the family's 1533-position model. The record is from RNAcentral. RNAcentral also lists the same sequence under 1 other name.